UCAAACUUGGUCAUUUAGAGGAAGUAAAAGUCGUAACAAGGUUUCCGUAGGUAAGUAAAAACUAUCAAUCUUACACCCCUUAUAGCCUAUAACAUACUGACUUUUUUCUUUUAGGUGAACCUGCGGAAGGAUCAUUAUAGAGUGGUAACCCCCCUGUAAAAGGGGGGGACCUCCUGUCCUUUGUAGGCUCCUUUUUUUUUUAAAGGGCUUUUUUAAAUUUUUUCUGCUUCGGUGGGGUUAUCCCACCGGAACAACCUCAAAACUCUGAUCAAAAAAUUGUUCUGUCUGAGGACCUUUUAUAAUUAAAAAACAAAACUUUCAACAACGGAUCUCUUGGUUCUGGCAUCGAUGAAGAACGCAGC
This 362-nucleotide unclassified non-coding RNA is filed under the name uncultured fungus. RNAcentral describes it as "partial contains small subunit ribosomal RNA, internal transcribed spacer 1, and 5.8S ribosomal RNA". The stretch from base 1 to 137 matches the Rfam family "Eukaryotic small subunit ribosomal RNA", at positions 1759 to 1831 of the family's 1831-position model. The record is from RNAcentral. Lineage: Eukaryota; Fungi.